ACUCAAAGGAAUUGACGGGGGUCCGCACAAGCGGUGGAACAUGUGGUUUAAUUCGACACUACGCGAGGAACCUUACCUAGGUUUGACAUGCUUAUGACCGCUAUAGAGAUAUAGCUUUCCAAGGGAAACCUUGGACAUUUGCACAGGUGCUGCAUGGCUGUCGUCAGCUCGUGUCGUGAGAUGUUGGGUUAAGUCCUAUAACGAGCGCAACCCUUGCUGUCAGUUGCUAUUUCGUAAGAAAGCACUCUGAUGGGACUGCCUGGGAAACCAGGAGGAAGGUGGGGAUGAUGUCAAGUCCGCAUGGUCCUUAUGUCUAGGGCAACACACGUGUUACAAUGGCCAUUACAAAGGGCUGCAAACUCGCAAGAGGAAGCUAAUCCCAUAAAGAUGGUCUAAGUUCGGAUUGAGGUCUGCAAUUCGACCUCAUGAAGCUGAAAUCGCUAGUAAUCGCAUAUCAGAACGAUGCGGUGAAUACGUUCUCGGACCUUGUACACACCGCCCGU
Molecule: ribosomal RNA, 503 nt
Filed under: uncultured bacterium
Lineage: Bacteria
Description: partial 16S ribosomal RNA
Rfam family: Bacterial small subunit ribosomal RNA
Source: RNAcentral